AUUGAACGCUGGCGGCAUGCUUUACACAUGCAAGUCGAACGGCAGCACGGACUUCGGUCUGGUGGCGAGUGGCGAACGGGUGAGUAAUAUAUCGGAACGUACCCUGGAGUGGGGGAUAACGUAGCGAAAGUUACGCUAAUACCGCAUACGAUCUAAGGAUGAAAGUGGGGGAUCGCAAGACCUCAUGCUCCUGGAGCGGCCGAUAUCUGAUUAGCUAGUUGGUGAGGUAAAGGCUCACCAAGGCGACGAUCAGUAGCUGGUCUGAGAGGACGACCAGCCACACUGGAACUGAGACACGGUCCAGACGCCUACGGGAGGGAGCAAUGGGGAAUUUUGGACAAUGGGGGCAACCCUGAUCCAGCAAUGCCGCGUGAGUGAAGAAGGCCUUCGGGUUGUAAAGCUCUUUUGUCAGGGGAUAAAAUACCCGUGCGCGGGGAAUUGAAGGUACCUGAUGAAUAAGCCACGGCUAACUACGUGCCAGCCGCCGCAGUAA
This 493-nucleotide ribosomal RNA is filed under the name uncultured bacterium. RNAcentral describes it as "partial 16S ribosomal RNA". It matches the Rfam family "Bacterial small subunit ribosomal RNA", at positions 30 to 523 of the family's 1533-position model. The record is from RNAcentral.